UAUAUGUUGGGUCGGGGCGGUAGAAGCUGACAUGAUGAGGGGAGUAGGGAUAAUGAGAUAUUGUUGACUAAAAUGGCCUGGGCCAGAAGAGGCCCAUUCUUAAGGCAUAGCCAGCAGUUCUGGGCCAGAGAGGGGUUGGAGGAGUUUAUGAGAGCGAAGACAGUGUUUAGAAUACUUUCGGUUUCGGGGUCAAGCUAUAGCACUCCCCGGUUCUCAGGUAAGAUUAGGGGGUGAUAGACAGGAGGUUCUUGGCUCUUGAUCAUAAUUUCAAUCCUGCGCGAUACAAUUGCAUUGCGGGUUUGAUCUUGGGGCCCGCCCCCAUCAGAUACUCCUAUGGGCGCCACGGAGUUGAAGCAGACAUCCUGCCCUGGGGUGCCAUAACAAGGGGAUGGCAUCGAGUUGCUGCCGGCCCCCGUAUCGCUGGGUCUUUGAGUGGAAUGUUCUUAUCACGUGGUUAUGGGUUCCGAGCUGUCUGCUGGGGCUUUAAUAUGAGGCUGAGGACUUUUAUCAUACUGCUGGCAGCAGGAGGUAUCUGGAAGAGAGGAAGAGGAGGACCACAAUGGAGUGUGAUUCAGCUUCUUGAUGCUGAAUCCUGUAAAAGAGAAGGAGACCCACCCCGAGCCAUGGGAGCACUGCCAACCUGGGUCUGCCUUGGGAGCUAUGAAAGCCUUUCAGGAGGACAUGAUGUCUGAACUAAGUCCCCACAGGCUAUGCGGAUUCAUUAGAAGAAUAAUGUCAAUCACAGCUUUAACACCUUAACUAUGGAAGGGACUAAUGAGAAAGCACUUUAGAAGAGGCCAUGGCAGUUAUAUGGACAUUACCUUCAGCACUGAAGAAACCAGAUGUUUUCCAGGCAUUUCUAUCCUUAGAUUUGACCAACUUUGGGCUUAAUCAUGAGAGGGCAACCUGCACACCUGAAGAAUAAGAAUUGCCUCCUCUUCCUUGGCUGCACACCACCAUGAUCACCAAAUUGAUAUCAUAAUUCUAAAAGGUAUCUCUUCUCUAUUACAAAAGAAAAAAAACCAUUUUAAUUGAACCAUGUAAAAAUAUCGUAGGUCCCAUGUGGCCUGUUGGCACAGAUACUUGUCUCUGCCCCUGAACUUCCUUUUGGCACACUCAAAAGAUUAAACAGCAGAGUGAGCUGCAAAAACAACUAACUCUUAAUGACCUAUUUCUGUAGAGAUACAUUGUCUCCAUUUGAUAGCUAGGUUGCCGAAUGCCACCAGUGUGGGAGAGUUCUUAGGAAGACGCAUUUUCUCCAUAAACUUGUUUGCUAUAAAUAUUUUGAUAUAUUUUCUGUAACCUUUUGUUACACAUUGGUUCUUUUUAAAAAAUAAUUUCUUAUUGAGAUAUAAUUUAACCUAACAUAAAACUAGCCCCCUUAAAGUGUCCAGUUCAGUGGUUUUGGUUGUAUUCUCAAAGUGUCCAGCUAUAACCAGUAAUUCCAGAAAUUUUCUUCACCCCAAAUGAACAUCUAUACCCUCCAGAUUUCAUCUACCAAUCCUCUCACCAUUCUCUAAUCCAGCCCUCAGAAACCUUGAAUCUACUUUAGCUCUAAAGCUUUGUGUAGUCUGAACAUUUCAUAUAAA
Mustela lutreola (European mink) is the source of this 1589-nucleotide long non-coding RNA. RefSeq lists it as uncharacterized. NCBI's taxonomy places the organism in Eukaryota, Metazoa, Chordata, Mammalia, Carnivora, Mustelidae. The transcript has 5 exons. The record is from RefSeq and is a predicted model, not a curated record.